AGAGUUUGAUCCUGGCUCAGGAUGAACGCUAGCUACAGGCUUAACACAUGCAAGUCGAGGGGAAACGACAUCGAAAGCUUGCUUUUGAUGGGCGUCGACCGGCGCACGGGUGAGUAACGCGUAUCCAACCUGCCCACCACUUGGGGAUAACCUUGCGAAAGUAAGACUAAUACCCAAUGAUAUCUCUAGAAGACAUCUGAAAGAGAUUAAAGAUUUAUCGGUGAUGGAUGGGGAUGCGUCUGAUUAGCUUGUUGGCGGGGUAACGGCCCACCAAGGCAACGAUCAGUAGGGGUUCUGAGAGGAAGGUCCCCCACAUUGGGACUGAGACACGGUCCAAACUCCUACCGGAGGCAUCA
Molecule: ribosomal RNA, 356 nt
Filed under: uncultured bacterium
Lineage: Bacteria
Description: bacterial SSU rRNA
Rfam family: Bacterial small subunit ribosomal RNA
Source: RNAcentral